Molecule: ribosomal RNA, 550 nt
Filed under: uncultured bacterium
Lineage: Bacteria
Description: bacterial SSU rRNA
Rfam family: Bacterial small subunit ribosomal RNA
Source: RNAcentral
UAGGGAAUCUUCGGCAAUGGGGGCAACCCUGACCGAGCAACGCCGCGUGAGUGAAGAAGGUUUUCGGAUCGUAAAGCUCUGUUGUAAGAGAAGAACGAGUGUGAGAGUGGAAAGUUCACACUGUGACGGUAACUUACCAGAAAGGGACGGCUAACUACGUGCCAGCAGCCGCGGUAAUACGUAGGUCCCGAGCGUUGUCCGGAUUUAUUGGGCGUAAAGCGAGCGCAGGCGGUUAGAUAAGUCUGAAGUUAAAGGCUGUGGCUUAACCAUAGUACGCUUUGGAAACUGUUUAACUUGAGUGCAAGAGGGGAGAGUGGAAUUCCAUGUGUAGCGGUGAAAUGCGUAGAUAUAUGGAGGAACACCGGUGGCGAAAGCGGCUCUCUGGCUUGUAACUGACGCUGAGGCUCGAAAGCGUGGGGAGCAAACAGGAUUAGAUACCCUGGUAGUCCACGCCGUAAACGAUGAGUGCUAGGUGUUAGACCCUUUCCGGGGUUUAGUGCCGUAGCUAACGCAUUAAGCACUCCGCCUGGGGAGUACGACCGCAAGGUUG